AUUGAACGCGGCGGCAGGCCUAACACUGCAGUCGAGCGGAAACGAGUUAUCUGAACCUUCGGGGAAUGAUAAGGCGUCGAGCGGCGGACGGGUGAGUAAUGCCUAGGAAAUUGCCUGAUGUGGGGGAUAACCAUUGGAAACGAUGGCUAAUACCGCAUGAUGCCUACGGGCCAAAGAGGGGGACCUUCGGGCCUCUCGCGUCAGGAUAUGCCUAGGUGGGAUUAGCUAGUUGGUGAGGUAAGGGCUCACCAAGGCAACGAUCCCUAGCUGGUCUGAGAGGAUGAUCAGCCACACUGGAACUGAGACACGGUCCAGACUCCUACGGGAGGCAGCAGUGGGGAAUAUUGCACAAUGGGCGCAAGCCUGAUGCAGCCAUGCCGCGUGUAUGAAGAAGGCCUUCGGGUUGUAAAGUACUUUCAGCAGUGAGGAAGGCGGGUACGUUAAUAGCGUGCUCGUUUGACGUUAGCUGCAGAGGAAGCACCGGCUAACUCCGUGCCAGCAGCCGCGGUAAUACGGAGGGUGCGAGCGUUAAUCGGAAUUACUGGGCGUAAAGCGCAUGCAGGUGGUUUGUUAAGUCAGAUGUGAAAGCCCGGGGCUCAACCUCGGAAUAGCAUUUGAAACUGGCAGACUAGAGUACUGUAGAGGGGGGUAGAAUUUCAGGUGUAGCGGUGAAAUGCGUAGAGAUCUGAAGGAAUACCGGUGGCGAAGGCGGCCCCCUGGACAGAUACUGACACUCAGAUGCGAAAGCGUGGGGAGCAAACAGG
This 764-nucleotide ribosomal RNA is filed under the name uncultured Pseudoalteromonadaceae bacterium. RNAcentral's name for it is "bacterial SSU rRNA". It matches the Rfam family "Bacterial small subunit ribosomal RNA", at positions 28 to 776 of the family's 1533-position model. The record is from RNAcentral. Lineage: Bacteria; Pseudomonadati; Pseudomonadota; Gammaproteobacteria; Alteromonadales; Pseudoalteromonadaceae.